GGAAGCAUCAUUGCGUGCUGGCAGACAUCAGAGCGUAUCCCCGUCUUCCAGAAUCCCUGGCUACUCAACUCGACAGUCACUUCACGUCUCAUCGUGUUCUUCUGCCGGAUUUUCUGCAGUGCUUCCUCUCUCUGUGAUAAUUUCUGUUUAUCAGCUUGUUUGACUUUGGGACUGUUAGCUAGCAGGUGACGCAGCUUCACAUAAC
This 205-nucleotide long non-coding RNA is filed under the name Gallus gallus (chicken). Lineage: Eukaryota; Metazoa; Chordata; Aves; Galliformes; Phasianidae. The record is from RNAcentral.